RNAcentral lists this ribosomal RNA (489 nucleotides) under uncultured bacterium. Its description in RNAcentral is "bacterial SSU rRNA". It matches the Rfam family "Bacterial small subunit ribosomal RNA", at positions 15 to 518 of the family's 1533-position model. The record is from RNAcentral.
GAUCAUGGCUCAGGAUGAACGCUGGCGGCGUGCAUAACACAUCAAGUCGAACGGGCAGUAUUCCUUCGGGGGUGCUGCUAGUGGCGGACGGGUGAGUAACGCGUGAGCAACCUGCCUCUGUGAGUGGAAUAACACAGGGAAACUCGUGCUAAUACCGCAUGACGAAGCGAAGCCGCAUGACUUUGCUUCCAAAGAUUUAUCGCACAGAGAUGGGCUCGCGUCCGAUUAGGCAGUUGGUGAGGUAACGGCUCACCAAACCGACGAUCGGUAGCCGGACUGAGAGGUUGAACGGCCACAUUGGAACUGAGAUACGGUCCAGACUCCUACGGGAGGCAGCAGUGGGGAAUAUUGGGCAAUGGGCCGCAAGCCUGACCCAGCGACGCCGCGUGAGGGAAGAAGGUCUUCGGAUUGUAAACCUCUUUGACAGGGGACGAAGUAAGUGACGGUACCCUGAAAACAAGCCACGGCUAACUACGUGCCAGCCGCCGC